UUCCUGAGCAGACAAGUGCUGCUGACUUGCAUGGGAGUUCUCAGAUUGCCAUGAAAGCCUCAACAACCAAUUGGAAGGAAUCCUACUGUUCUUCAGGACAUGUAGGACUCAGCAGACAGAGGUCAAAUAAACUUUUUUAUUUUGCUCUGCCAAGACAACUGGGUCAGUGAAUGAAGCAGGCAAAGAAUUGAAGAGAUGCAUUCAAGUUGUAAGUGCCUCAAGAUGCACAUAGUGAAUUAUUAUACUGUUGGUCUAUCCUGAAAGCUUUAUGAGUAGUUCUGCAUCCUGAUUUGUUAAAGGAAGAUAAAACCACAUUAAAAGUCAAGCUGAAAGGUACAAAAAUCCAUUACUGCUUUGUUUUUCAUAUUUAUGAAGCACUGAACUGUAGAGUACUCUAAUGAUAGCUUGUAUUAAUUUUAACAAAU
Long non-coding RNA from Myiozetetes cayanensis, 425 nucleotides. RefSeq lists it as uncharacterized. The record is from RefSeq and is a predicted model, not a curated record. NCBI's taxonomy places the organism in Eukaryota, Metazoa, Chordata, Aves, Passeriformes, Tyrannidae. The transcript is spliced from 3 exons.